Molecule: ribosomal RNA, 253 nt
Filed under: uncultured bacterium
Lineage: Bacteria
Also listed under: 2 other names
Description: partial 16S ribosomal RNA
Rfam family: Bacterial small subunit ribosomal RNA
Source: RNAcentral
UACAGAGGGUGCAAGCGUUAAUCGGAAUUACUGGGCGUAAAGCGCGCGUAGGCGGUUGUAUAAGUUGGAUGUGAAAUCCCCGGGCUUAACCUGGGCACUGCAUUCAAAACUGUACGGCUAGAGUGUAGGAGAGGAAGGUAGAAUUCCAGGUGUAGCGGUGAAAUGCGUAGAGAUCUGGAGGAAUACCGAUGGCGAAGGCAGCCUUCUGGCCUAACACUGACGCUGAGGUGCGAAAGCAUGGGGAGCAAACAGG